GAAAAAAUGAUGCCGGGGAGGAGUACCGAAAUGCCUCCAUGCAGAGAGGAAAGCCCCUGGGCUGAAAGGCUUUCCUGGCAGGCUUCGGGAACGUCGCCCCUAAGAUUGUGAAGGGGAAGCCAGUACCUUUCACCGGGUUAUGCCCGUUAUAGCUAUAAAGUGCCGGGAGCGUUGUAUCCCGGAAGCAAGGUGGUACCGCGGAAAGUGCCUCUUUCGCCCUUGGG
RNAcentral lists this non-coding RNA (224 nucleotides) under Carboxydothermus hydrogenoformans. RNAcentral's name for it is "T-box sequence". It matches the Rfam family "T-box leader". From Rfam's summary of the family: Uncharged tRNA acts as the effector for transcription antitermination of genes in the T-box leader family. The record is from RNAcentral. Lineage: Bacteria; Bacillati; Bacillota; Clostridia; Thermoanaerobacterales; Thermoanaerobacteraceae.